AUACGUAGGUGACAAGCGUUAUCCGGAUUUACUGGGUUUAAAGGGUGCGUAGGCGGUUUGCUAAGCGGGAGGUGAAAUGCCGGCGCUCAACGUCGGAAGUGCCUCCCGAACUGGUGGACUUGAAUGACUCUGCCGUGGGAGGAAUGUGUAGUGUAGCGGUGAAAUGCUUAGAGAUUACACAGAACACCGAUUGCGAAGGCAUCUCACGAAGGGUUGAUUGACGCUGAGGCACGAAAGCGUGGGGAUCAAACAGGAUUAGAUACCCUGGUAGUCCACGCAGUAAACGAUGAUGGCUAACCGCUGGGCUUAUCAGUUCAGUGGCCAAGCGAAAGCGAUAAGCCAUCCACCUGGGGAGUACGACCGCAAGGUUGAAACUCAAAUGAAUUGGCGGGG
Molecule: ribosomal RNA, 393 nt
Filed under: uncultured bacterium
Lineage: Bacteria
Description: partial 16S ribosomal RNA
Rfam family: Bacterial small subunit ribosomal RNA
Source: RNAcentral